Molecule: long non-coding RNA, 499 nt
Organism: Nicotiana attenuata
Lineage: Eukaryota; Viridiplantae; Streptophyta; Magnoliopsida; Solanales; Solanaceae
Exons: 4
Source: RefSeq, a predicted model, not a curated record
AAGGUCUAUGUGUCUACUUUCUAAUUCUUCACACCGUUUGUCAUUUGGAGAUUCCUACAAGAAGUUAUGACCUUUUUACUAAAGGGUGACAGAACAUCUAUGCUAGUCUUCAAAUUGGAAUUGAUUUCUAGAGAGAAGGAGGAGCUCUUCCACCAUGGAUACACUUCAAGGAAAUGGGUUGAAUCUUCAAGAACACCAAAAAUAGAAAAAGUGUGAUUCUUCCACCAAGAGGUAUGGAAUUGUGGGUGAUAUUUGGACAUUUUAAUCAAUUGGAGCAUUGUGUAUUUUCGGAUCUUGAAGGUUGAGGAUAAGGUAUGGUACGUGGCAUACAGACAUGGCUAGGACGACUAUCUUCCUGAGGUAUAUGGCAAUGCACCACCUCUAUUUCCGUGAUAGCUAUCAUGAUAUUUCUUAAUUUAUGUUAGUCGGGCAUUAGCCCAAGUGUUUAGUUCUAUUCCUUGGUAUAGAGGCUCCAUAGAUAGUUGUGAAAAGUUGUAGU